This is a long non-coding RNA of Etheostoma spectabile (orangethroat darter), 314 nucleotides long. RefSeq lists it as uncharacterized. The record is from RefSeq and is a predicted model, not a curated record. NCBI's taxonomy places the organism in Eukaryota, Metazoa, Chordata, Actinopteri, Perciformes, Percidae. The transcript has 3 exons.
ACGGAGCGUGCGUCUGGAAGCCCAGUCUGUAAGUUAAAAUGUAUGCAUGCAUAUAAACCAGUCAUUCUUAACAUGGAACCAAUGACAGUCAACAUGGUGCAUAUCAUGUGAUUGUUCUGAUGUUUGUCUCUUCCUGUCUUUUUUUCAGCUCAGCAGAUAAUACUUCCUCCACCACCUGCAUGAAACCAGCUGGUUGCCCAGAGCAGGAUGAGUCUUUAGUGACCCUACCACGGACUGCCACUUCAUCUUGGGACCCAGUUGAAGAAGAACUCACACAGAGGGAGGUGGCUCAGACAUGGAGAUCAAAAUGAGAG